This 257-nucleotide ribosomal RNA is filed under the name uncultured bacterium. RNAcentral describes it as "partial 16S ribosomal RNA". It matches the Rfam family "Bacterial small subunit ribosomal RNA", at positions 524 to 777 of the family's 1533-position model. The record is from RNAcentral.
AACGUAGGACACAAGCGUUAUCCGGAGUUACUGGGCGUAAAGGGCGUGUAGGCGGACCUAUAAGUCUAUUCUGAAAGCUCCUGGCUAAACUGGGAGAGGCGAAUGGAGACUGUAGAUCUAGAGUGAGGAAGAGGAAAGUGGAAUUCCGCGUGUAGUGGUGAAAUGCGUAGAGAUGCGGAAGGAACACCAGUGGCGAAAGCGACUUUCUGGUCCUUAACUGACGCUGAGGCGCGAAAAGCAUGGGGGAGCGAACGGGG